UCAGGCGGGAGAGACCAACAGGGAUUGCCUCAGUAACGGCGAGUGAAGCGGCAACAGCUCAAAUUUGAAAUCUGGCCCUCGGGUCCGAGUUGUAAUUUGUAGAGGAUGCUUUUGGCGCGGUGCCUUCCGAGUUCCCUGGAACGGGACGCCUUAGAGGGUGAGAGCCCCGUACGGUUGGACACCAAGCCUCUGUAAAGCUCCUUCGACGAGUCGAGUAGUUUGGGAAUGCUGCUCUAAAUGGGAGGUAAAUUUCUUCUAAAGCUAAAUAUUGGCCAGAGACCGAUAGCGCACAAGUAGAGUGAUCGAAAGAUGAAAAGCACUUUGAAAAGAGGGUUAAAUAGCACGUGAAAUUGUUGAAAGGGAAGCGUUUGCGACCAGACCUUUUCCUGGCGGAUCAUCCGGUGUUCUCACCGGUGCACUUCGCCAGGUCGAGGCCAGCAUCGGUUUCCGCGGGGGGAUAAAAGCUCUGGGAACGUAGCUCCUCCGGGAGUGUUAUAGCCCUCUGCACAAUACCCCCGCGGGGACCGAGGACCGCGCUCUAAGCAAGGAUGCUGGCGUAAUGGUUGUCAACGACCCGUCUUGAAACACGGACCAAGGAGUCGAACAUUUGUGCGAGUGUUUGGGUGUCAAACCCUCACGCGUAAUGAAGGUGAACGUAGGUGAGAGCCCUUACGGGUGCAUCAUCGACCGAUCCUGAUGUCUUCGGAUGGAUUUGAGUAAGAGCAUAACUGUUCGGACCCGAAAGAUGGUGAACUAUGCGUGGAUAGGGUGAAGCCAGAGGAAACUCUGGUGGAGGCUCGCAGCGGUUCUGACGUGCAAAUCGAUCGUCAAAUCUGCGCAUGGGGGCGAAAGACUUAUCGAACCAUCUAGUAGCUGGUUACCGCCGAAGUUUCCCUCAAGAUAGCAGUGUUGUUCUUCAGUUUUAUGAGUAAAGCGAAUGAUUAGGGACUCGGGGGCGCUUUUUUGCCUUCAUCC
RNAcentral lists this ribosomal RNA (975 nucleotides) under Rosellinia necatrix. RNAcentral describes it as "partial large subunit ribosomal RNA". It matches the Rfam family "Eukaryotic large subunit ribosomal RNA", at positions 46 to 1053 of the family's 3401-position model. Lineage: Eukaryota; Fungi; Ascomycota; Sordariomycetes; Xylariales; Xylariaceae. The record is from RNAcentral.